AACCUAUGUUGAGGACAUUUUUGAAGGAGUUCCUUGUACCUUUACCAUGCCUCAAAUAGGGUCUACAAUUCCAUUUGCACGAAGGAAGAAAUCUCAUUCCUAAUCUU
This is a small nucleolar RNA of Dioscorea cayenensis subsp. rotundata (Guinea yam), 107 nucleotides long. NCBI's taxonomy places the organism in Eukaryota, Viridiplantae, Streptophyta, Magnoliopsida, Dioscoreales, Dioscoreaceae. The record is from RefSeq and is a predicted model, not a curated record.